AAUGAACGUUGGCGGCGUGGAUUGGGCAUGCGAGUCGUGCGAGAACCGUAGCAAUACGGGGACAGCGGCGAAAGGGAGAGGAACACGUGGAUACCUACCCUCAGGUUCAGGAUAGCUAUGGGAAACUAUAGGUAAUACUGAAUGAUAUCUCCGGAUCAAAGGUGUGAUUCCGCCGGAGGAGGGGUCUGCGUCCUAUUAGCUAGUUGGUGUGGUAACGGCUCACCAAGGCAAAGAUGGGUACGGGGUGUGAGAGCAUGAUCCCGCUCAUUGGGACUGAGACACUGCCCAGACACCUACGGGUGGCUGCAGUCGAGAAUCUUCGGCAAUGGGGGAAACCCUGACCGAGCGACGCCGCGUGUGAGAUGAAGGCCUUCGGGUUGUAAAUCACUGUCGUAGGGGAGGAAAUAUUGGUGGGUUCUCCCAUCAGUUUGACCUAUCCUAGGAGGAAGGACGGGCUAAGUUCGUGCCAGCCGCCGCAGUAA
RNAcentral lists this ribosomal RNA (482 nucleotides) under uncultured bacterium. RNAcentral describes it as "partial 16S ribosomal RNA". It matches the Rfam family "Bacterial small subunit ribosomal RNA", at positions 29 to 523 of the family's 1533-position model. The record is from RNAcentral.